This 336-nucleotide unclassified non-coding RNA is filed under the name soil metagenome. RNAcentral describes it as "partial contains 5.8S ribosomal RNA, internal transcribed spacer 2, and large subunit ribosomal RNA". The stretch from base 1 to 120 matches the Rfam family "5.8S ribosomal RNA", at positions 35 to 154 of the family's 154-position model. The record is from RNAcentral.
GAUGAAGAACGUAGCGAAAUGCGAUAAGUAGUGUGAAUUGCAGAAUUCAGUGAAUCAUCGAAUCUUUGAACGCACAUUGCGCCCCUUGGUAUUCCAUGGGGCAUGCCUGUUCGAGCGUCAUUUGUACCAUCAAGCUUUGCUUGGUGUUGGGUGUUUGUCUCGCCUUUGCGUGUAGACUCGCCUUAAAAUAAUUGGCAGCCGGCGUAUUGAUUUCGGAGCGCAGUACAUCUCGCGCUUUGCACUCAUAACGACAGCGUCCAAAAGUACAUUUUACACUCUUGACCUCGGAUCAGGUAGGGAUACCCGCUGAACUUAAGCAUAUCAAUAAGCGGAGGA